CCAAGUCUUGCAUUUUGUGCUUACAUUUUGCUAGACCUACACCCGUCAAUCACUACUAGAUCCAUCAGUCUUAGGUUUUAUCGUCGAUUGUAGGAAAUGUCUAGUGCGUCAAGUAAUCAGUUAGUAGUUCAUGACGGGGCAGAAUACGAGGAAGUAUACCUAUCGACACAACUUGGGGAGUAUUACAUUCAUCUCGUAGACGGCGCCCACAAGUUAGUAUUGAGGAGUUUAGCUUUCUCGAGAAGAUUUUUCAGAAGACCAAGUUGGAAGAGAGGACUUGGGCAAAGUUGGUAAACCCAAACACUAUUUAUUGGUAUUGUGACGGUCCUGAACCCACUCCUGAAGCUGUUAGAUAUAACGAAAGAAUUCACAAACGUAAGUCCGUCAACCUUUAUUUUAUUUAAACAACUUCAACUUAGUUUAUGACUUUAUCCGUCCUUCUUUGCAGAGAUGGACGAUGCUAAGAGGAGGGCUCUGAUAAAGGCACAGGUUGCCAAAAGAAAAGAGUCCGACGAGGUGGUUCCCAAGGGGAUGGCUCCAUCGAUAAAAAGAAAGCCUCCGUCCAAAUCUGACCGUCCAUAAAAGAAAUAGAAAGUUUCUCUGGAACCCGUCGUCGGGUUAAUGGCUGAGGGUGCGAAGACCAUCACCCCAGUAAAGCAUGGGUCCGACAAAGGUUUGAUGAAGGCCCCGUCCACAAGCCAAGAGAAGCCUCCUCCUCUAAUUCGCCUUGGAAAAGCUUUCUUCUAUAAUCUCGUUUGAGGAUUACGAGGAUUUGGGUAAUCACUCGACAGAGGCGAUGGGGGAGACGGGUCUCUUUGCUGUCGUACAGGAAAUGUUUAUCCAUCGGUUUACGCCCGUCCACUCUACUUUGUUUUUCUCUAACACUCUUAACUUGUUUGUUUCAGUCCUUGGUCAUGAUGAAGGGUCUAAUGGACCGGUGCCUUAACCGUGAGGCGGCUCUGGAACUUGUUCGAGCAAAGGCGGAGCAGACGGAAAGUGAGCUGAGUCAACUUAGCAAGUGGAAGUCCACUAUGGAGAAAAAGUUUGACCUUUCAGAACAGGUAAGGAAAGAGCUUGAGCAAAAGACGGAUGAGGCUGGGAAGGCCCUGGAGAUCAAAGAAAAGGAAAUCCAAGACUUGAAGGAAAAGCUCUGUCAAGCUAAGGAGGUAGCGGUCCGAAAAUACCGUGAUUCCGAUGCCUUACUAAGCGAGCUGGGGGGGCUCGUUCCUUUAAGGUUUUGAUGAUGCGCUCCGUCAAGUUAAGAGAGCCUACCCUGAACUGGACGUGUCAAUGAUAAAUUUCAAUGACCAAGACCAGACGUCUGCUUUGCUCGUCGCCUCAGAAAACACAGACAGCCUCUUUGCUGAGGAGGCAGUUCAAGGUGACGGAGAAUCAGCUCUAGCAAAAAAUGUUCAAGAUGCCGACCCGAAAAUGUAAAAGUUUUUAUAUAUUAUUAUUUAUUUAUUUAUUUAUUUUUUGAGAAUGAUCCGUCCUUAAUUUUGUGUAUUAAACAAUUACCCUCUGAGGGUUUUAUCCAUCGUUAUUGCAUUUUGUAAUUUUAUGCUUGCUAUAUCAAUCUUUAUUAUUUUUUGAA
Long non-coding RNA from Quercus robur (English oak), 1594 nucleotides. RefSeq lists it as uncharacterized. Lineage: Eukaryota; Viridiplantae; Streptophyta; Magnoliopsida; Fagales; Fagaceae. The record is from RefSeq and is a predicted model, not a curated record. The transcript has 2 exons.